This 604-nucleotide ribosomal RNA is filed under the name uncultured bacterium. RNAcentral describes it as "bacterial SSU rRNA". It matches the Rfam family "Bacterial small subunit ribosomal RNA", at positions 888 to 1498 of the family's 1533-position model. The record is from RNAcentral.
GCAAGAUUAAAACUCAAAGGAAUAGACGGGGACCCGCACAAGUGGUGGAGCAUGUGGUUUAAUUCGAAGAUACGCGAAGAACCUUACCUAGCCUUGACAUAUUUAAGAAUCCGGCAGAGAUGCUGGAGUGCCUUCGGGAGCUUUCUUACAGGUGCUGCACGGCUGUCGUCAGCUCGUGUCGUGAGAUGUUGGGUUAAGUCCCGCAACGAGCGCAACCCUCGUCACUAGUUACUAACGGUUCGGCCGAGGACUCUAGUGAGACUGCCUUCGUAAGGAGGAGGAAGGUGAGGACGACGUCAAGUCAUCAUGGCCCUUACGGCUAGGGCAACACACGUGCUACAAUGGCCAGGACAGUGAGACGCAAUACCGCGAGGUGGAGCAAAUCUAUAAACCUGGUCUCAGUUCGGAUUGUUCUCUGCAACUCGAGAACAUGAAGCUGGAAUCACUAGUAAUCGUAGAUCAGCUAUGCUACGGUGAAUACGUUCCCGGGUCUUGUACUCACCGCCCGUCACACCAUGGGAGUUGAUUUCACCCGAAGCGGGGAAGCUAAACUGGCUACCCUCCACGGUGGAAUUAGCGACUGGGGUGAAGUCGUAACAAGGUA